GCUUCAGGGCGGAGUGAAAUUCUCCACCGGCGGUAAAGCCCGCCAGCCUUAUUCAAGGCUGAUUCGGUGAAAUUCCGAAGCCGACGGUAACAGUCCGGAUAAAAGAGGU
RNAcentral lists this non-coding RNA (109 nucleotides) under bovine gut metagenome. Its description in RNAcentral is "FMN riboswitch (RFN element)". It matches the Rfam family "FMN riboswitch aptamer (RFN element)". Rfam says of the family: The RFN element is a highly conserved domain that is found frequently in the 5'-untranslated regions of prokaryotic mRNAs that encode for flavin mononucleotide (FMN) biosynthesis and transport proteins. This element is a metabolite-dependent riboswitch that directly binds FMN in the absence of proteins. In Bacillus subtilis, the riboswitch most likely controls gene expression by causing premature transcription termination within the 5' untranslated region of the ribDEAHT operon and precluding access to the ribosome-binding site of ypaA mRNA. The record is from RNAcentral. RNAcentral also lists the same sequence under 1 other name.